CAUGUUGGACAGGAAGUUUGUCACAACGCCUCGUUUCCCUGCACCAGCACCACCUGGAACAAGAAAUGGGUCAAGCACUUAAAUUCAUCCAGUUUGUCAUUGCAACAGGUUCAAACUUUAUUUUACCAGUCGAUUUACGCUGGAGGAAGCAGGUUCUUUGGCACCACCUGGUGGAGAAAACCAGAAGAAAAUGCACAUGUUGGAAUAACUUUCACAAACAUUUGUAGGUGCAUGUGUGUUUUUCACCAGUGAAGAGCGCUGAGCAGCAAUGGCCUUCUCUCCAACCGCAGCUUGCUGGCCUGAAAGACACGAUGCAGGCCUGUGGACAGAAAUGAGACAAUUAGAUGCAGUCUAUU
Molecule: long non-coding RNA, 356 nt
Organism: Syngnathus acus (greater pipefish)
Lineage: Eukaryota; Metazoa; Chordata; Actinopteri; Syngnathiformes; Syngnathidae
Exons: 2
Source: RefSeq, a predicted model, not a curated record